CCUCCCUCUUAUCUCAAAAGAAAAUAGAGAAUCCCUAUAGACAUACAUGAAUAAGUCAAGUUAAUAUGUGAGAAAAUGAUUUAUGUACUGAAAACAAGAUGUUAAUAAUGGUGAAAUUUGAACUUUUAGCUUGACCUACCAUCUAACUGGACAAUUACUAAAGAAAACAACAUAUAAUAAAAUAUGGAGAAAUUCAGUUAUAAACUCCAGAUUUCUACAACUUGCUCUUGAUCGUAAGAUUCUUCUAUUGUAUGAGUAUAAAAUAUUUUCUGAAUAGAUGACUAUAACUUUGCCUAUUGUUUUGCCUAUCGCUGCUUAUCAAACCACUCCAUCACUUGGUGGUUAAAAACAUCAAUUUAUCAUUAUCUCUGUGAGAUCUCUGUGUCCACUAGAUUUGGUGGGUGGUUCUCACUUGAGGGAACUCAGGCAAUUGCAGUCAGACAGUGGCUGGGCCUGCAGACAACUGAAGGCUCCAGUGCAUUGUUCAUUCACGUGGCUGGCAGGUGAUGCUUCUCAUCAGGUGGAAGUUCAGCUGGGGUUGAUGCAGGAGCGAUUACACUUGGCUUAUCCAUGCGGCUUGGGCUCCUCAUGGUUCGGCAGUUGAGUUCUGAGAGGGAACAUCUCAAGAGCAAAUGUUCUAAGAGGCCCGGUGGAUGAUGAAGGGCUUCUUAUGACCCAGAUUUGGAAGUCACACAGCGUCUCUCCCACCACAUUCUGUUGGUCAAAGCAAUUCACACGCCCAGCCCAGAUUCAAGAUGAGGUGUGAUAGAUUCCACCUUCCAAUGGGGCUGUUGCAUUCAAUUAUGGUCAAAUUUAAUCGACCACAGUCUACUUAAAAUUGUUUAUAUUCCUCACACAUGGAACAGAGACGCAUCUCCUCUCCAGGGCCUCAAACACUCCAUGCAUUAGAGCAUCUGGGUCAGCCUUGACAUCUAGGAGCCUAUUGUCUUAAUUACGUCCAGAUGGUGAUGUGAGAAAGCCUUCAGGUGCAGAUUCUUUCACGAAUUGCAGCAUCAGGGUCAGACCUGAGAUCCAGAAGUUCAUCAUCUUAAGUCUAGAUGCGGUUGUAUUGCUGCAGGUGGGGUUCGUCAGGCAGAGAUCCUCGAGCCAGAUUAUUCUCCACUGUUAACAGACAUCAGAAUCCUGAAAGCUGCCUUCGUGGUAUAAUUCUUGACUGGUCUGGGGAAGUCUGCGUCUUAGCAACCAUGAAGACUAAGAGAGCCGCCAUGCAGAAGGAAAAAGAACAGACUGGUGUUCAAAGGGAAGAUGCCGGAGAAUCCUCAGAAAGGUGUUUCCAUGGUGCUGAAGGAGUGGAACAGCACUUGCCUCCAAGACUCUAUCCAGAGCCAUCCAUCAUCUCCCCUGACCUGUAGGGAGAAGGUCGUCAAAACCUGAGCCCUGAGGGCACUAAAGGAACCCAUUGCUGCCUGGCAAGGGAAACAAAGGAAGAAGAAAUACAACCGUGUGUGGGGGGUGUCAGAGAUAUACUCUAGGCCCAGGUUCACAUCUGAAGGAGGAGUCAGAACACUGUGAAGACCCAACGCCCUUGGAACCCACAUUUAUGGUAACUUCCUAAGCCUGAGGCCCAACAGAACGUCAGAAAAUUUCCCCCAUCCCAAGUCCCAAAACCACACUAACAAGUAUCAAAUCAUCAAAUCAAAAUAAUAAUGGAAUACACCUGGAGAGAAAUGUACAGAACAGAUUCUCUCUCAGCAGCAGUGCAAAGAUAAGACAAAACCUAACUGCAGAGACAAAAUCAAGGUGUACACACACACACACAUGCAAGUUCCUACAACAUAUCCAUACAAGUUCCUUUACAACAUAUCCAACUUUCAGCAAAACACUAUGAGGUAUAAAAAAGUCAAGAAUAAAUGUAAUCUUAAAAACAAUGCAGUUAUGAGAGCUAGACUCAAAUAUGGCACAUAUGCUAGAAAUAUGAGAAAAGCAUAAAAUAACUAUGAUUAAUAUGUUAAAGACUUGGGUGGAAAAAAGUAGACAAUGUGUGAGAUCAGAUAGGUCAUUACAGCAUAUGUGAACUGUAAGAAAAUCAAAUGAAAAUGUAGAAAUUAAAACCAUAAUCGUAGGUAGAAAGAAAUCUGAGAACAUUAAGCAGGAGAAAUACAAAAAUUACCAAACCUCGGUAUAUAAUAAUCAAACUGCUGGAAACCAAAGACAGAAAAUUUUGAGUGUAGCCAGAGAUGGAAAUACAUGUUAUGUUAAAAAAAGAAAAAAAAGGAUAAGAGUCUCAACAGACUCUUUGCAAGAAACUGUGAAUGCAAGAAGACAGUAGAGUGAGUUCUUUGAAGUGCUGAAAGCAAAACAACAGAAUUUCAUAGCUAGUGACAGUAACCCUCCAAAGAAAAAAGAGAAAUAAAGACUUUUUCAGACACAAAACAUAAAGAAACUCAGUACCAGAAAACCUACUCUAUAAGAAAUGUUACAGGAAAUUCUUCAGACAGAAGGAGUAUGAUAUGGGUCAGAACUCUGAAAAUACACAGAGAAAAGAAGAAUGCUGAAAAUGGAAUAAAUAAAGGAAAAAUAGAAUUUCCUGUUUUUAUUAUUAUUGCAGUGCUUUUAAGGACGACUGACUGAUUAAAGCAAUAAAAGCUAUAACGUGUGUUUAUGGUGUAUUUAAAAGUGAAAUGUCUGGCAGCAAUGUCACAAAAGACUGGAGAGGAACUGAGAAAGUAGUUAUAAUCUGCACAUAAUAUAUGUAAAGUAAUAUAAUACUAUUUGAAAGUGGACUCAGAUUAUUUACACAUGCACAUUUUUAUCCUGUGGCAACCACUAAAAAAGUAAAACAAGUGUAUAAAUGAUAAAUCAAUAAGAAAGAUAAAAUGAAAUCGA
RNAcentral lists this long non-coding RNA (2847 nucleotides) under Equus caballus (horse). RNAcentral describes it as "lncRNA (ENSECAG00000030793.3)". The record is from RNAcentral. Lineage: Eukaryota; Metazoa; Chordata; Mammalia; Perissodactyla; Equidae.